GCGCUGCCAUGGUCAGACGUGGAUAAUCUGUUGUUCGAGCAGUGUGUGUGCUGGUUGCUGCCAUGAAAAUAUUUUCAUAACGCCAUUGGUUUACUUUAAUUAAAUACAUUGAGUAGUGUAAUCAGUAUUGAUUGUCGGUGUACAAUUAUUUGGUAUAUCCACCAGGGGAUUUUUGACCGAAGUAACUUGAUCAACGACUACACAUAGAAGAACUGAAUUGUUUUUGCCGCCCGGGUCCUUUUUUUUAAAAGAGCUGGCUUCAACGCCAUCUUUUAAAUACUAAAAAUAAUAUAUUUUCUUAACUAUACGCAUUUUUGUAUAUAUUAAUAACAAGAAAAUAAUCCCUCAAAAUUUCAAAAGCCUCUAGACCACCGUGUCCCUUUUAAUAAAGAAGACAAUUAAAUACAAUAAAAAAAAAUGUGGGCGUCGGUUGACCCUGCGGGCCAGCCCUAAAACUUCCCGCUGUUUUCGACCUCAAAGAGCUCGAAAACAUUAGUGUAGAUAUAUUUUCGAGCUCUUCGAGCUCGAAAAUGCUAUCACAUGCAAUUGUUUUUUUAUGAUCUUUUCAAGCUCUAACAAGUUACCUGUUAUGCUGAAGUUUGAAAAUUUAAGAAUCGAAAAUCAUCAAUGAAGCGGUUUUUAAAAUUUAGUUCCUGAUUAUGUUCAGUAAAAUAAGUGUAUUGAGGCAGAAAUCAA
Microplitis demolitor is the source of this 696-nucleotide long non-coding RNA. RefSeq lists it as uncharacterized. The record is from RefSeq and is a predicted model, not a curated record. Lineage: Eukaryota; Metazoa; Arthropoda; Insecta; Hymenoptera; Braconidae. The transcript has 3 exons.